RNAcentral lists this RNase P RNA (364 nucleotides) under Chloroflexota bacterium. RNAcentral describes it as "Chloroflexi bacterium RNase P RNA component class A". It matches the Rfam family "Bacterial RNase P class A". Rfam says of the family: Ribonuclease P (RNase P) is a ubiquitous endoribonuclease, found in archaea, bacteria and eukarya as well as chloroplasts and mitochondria. Lineage: Bacteria; Bacillati; Chloroflexota. The record is from RNAcentral.
CAGGCUGGUCGGGCGAUCGCGGCGUGAAAGCGUCGAGGAAAGUCCGCACUUCGUAGAGCACGAUGCCAAGGAAAUCUUGGGAUGGAGAAAUCUAUCGGAUCGGGUCACAGAAAAGAACCGCUUCCCCCCCAGCCUCCCCCUAAUUGGGGGAGGGGAGGUGGGGGCAGUAAGGGUGAAAAGGUGGUGUAAGAGACCCCCAGCGUUUGCAGUAAUGUGAACGGCUAGAUAACCCCCAUCGGAAGCAAAGCCAAGCAGAGAUGAUGAGCUGCUCGCUCUUCACAUCUCAGGUAGGCUGCACAGAUAGAUGAUCGCCUAAGGGAUGCAAGUCCCCGGACAAGAUGCGGCUUAUAGACCAGCCUGAGGU